AAAUUGAAGAGUUUGAUCAUGGCUCAGAUUGAACGCUGGCGGCAGGCCUAACACAUGCAAGUCGAGCGGAAACGAGUUAUCUGAACCUUCGGAGGACGAUAACGGCGUCGAGCGGCGGACGGGUGAGUAAUGCCUAGGAAAUUGCCCUGAUGUGGGGGAUAACCAUUGGAAACGAUGGCUAAUACCGCAUGAUGCCUACGGGCCAAAGAGGGGGACCUUCGGGCCUCUCGCGUCAGGAUAUGCCUAGGUGGGAUUAGCUAGUUGGUGAGGUAAGGGCUCACCAAGGCGACGAUCCCUAGCUGGUCUGAGAGGAUGAUCAGCCACACUGGAACUGAGACACGGUCCAGACUCCUACGGGAGGCAGCAGUGGGGAAUAUUGCACAAUGGGCGCAAGCCUGAUGCAGCCAUGCCGCGUGUGUGAAGAAGGCCUUCGGGUUGUAAAGCACUUUCAGUCGUGAGGAAGGCGGUGUAGUUAA
Molecule: ribosomal RNA, 476 nt
Filed under: Vibrio alginolyticus
Lineage: Bacteria; Pseudomonadati; Pseudomonadota; Gammaproteobacteria; Vibrionales; Vibrionaceae
Description: bacterial SSU rRNA
Rfam family: Bacterial small subunit ribosomal RNA
Source: RNAcentral